This 54-nucleotide transfer RNA is filed under the name Pseudosuccinea columella. Its description in RNAcentral is "tRNA-Tyr". The record is from RNAcentral. Lineage: Eukaryota; Metazoa; Mollusca; Gastropoda; Lymnaeidae.
GAUGGCUGAUUUUUUAGGCGAAAGAUUGUAAAUCUUUUUAAGACUUAUUGUCUC